Molecule: non-coding RNA, 77 nt
Organism: Potamilus streckersoni
Lineage: Eukaryota; Metazoa; Mollusca; Bivalvia; Unionida; Unionidae
Source: the annotation of a GenBank genome assembly
GGCCGCGCCGGUGGCCUAGUGGUUAGAGCGUCCGCUUUGGAUGCAUGAGAAGACGGGUUCGAACCUUGGCCGAGUCA